UUACAGCACCAAAACUUUGUCCACACGUCGUGCUUGCACGUAAGUGGGGACAAGAGUUUCUGGCGCGCCCCACAUGAGCAAGUAGUGGGGUAGGGGCCCCGCGGAUUGCGAAUGGAGGGCAGGAUUGUGGGAGCGCGAAGCGCGGAGCAAUCCGUAA
Molecule: small RNA, 157 nt
Filed under: bovine gut metagenome
Description: Clostridiales-1 RNA
Rfam family: Clostridiales-1 RNA
Source: RNAcentral